Molecule: ribosomal RNA, 494 nt
Filed under: uncultured bacterium
Lineage: Bacteria
Description: partial 16S ribosomal RNA
Rfam family: Bacterial small subunit ribosomal RNA
Source: RNAcentral
GACGAACGCUGGCGGCGUGCUGAACACAUGCAAGUCGAACGGAAAGGCCUGCUUUCCCUUGUGGAUUGCGGGUACUCGAGUGGCGAACGGGUGAGUAACACGUGAGUGAUCUGCCCCCAACUUGGGUAUAAGCCUGGGAAACUGGGUCUAAUUCCCGAUAGGACUGCAGGGUGGUGCCUGUGGUGGAAAACGAUUUUCUAGUGGUUGGGGAUGAGCUCGCGGCCUAUCAGCUUGUUGGUGGGGUAAUGGCCUACCAAGGCGGCGACGGGUAGCCGGCCUGAGAGGGUGGACGGCCACAUUGGGACGGAGAUACGGCCCAGACUCCUACGGGAGGCAGCAGUGGGGAAUAUUGCACAAUGGGCGGAAGCCUGAUGCAGCGACGCCGCGUGGGGGAUGACGGCCUUCGGGUUGUAAACUCCUUUCGACCGCGAGGAAGCCACCUGGUUGGAAGGGUGGUGACGGUAGUGGUAGAAGAAGCACCGGCUAACUACGUG